GUUGUAUAGUCAAGUAAUUAAGUGCAUGUGGUGGAUGCCUUGGCAGUCAGAGGCGAUGAAAGACGUGAUAGCCUGCGAAAAGCUCCGGGGAGGCGGCAAAUAUCCUUUGAUCCGGAGAUGUCUGAAUGGGGGAACCCACCUACUUUAAGGUAGGUAUUGCAACAUGAAUACAUAGUGUUGCAAGGCGAACGAGGGGAAGUGAAACAUCUCAGUACCCUUAGGAAAAGAAAUCAAUUGAGAUUCCCUCAGUAGCGGCGAGCGAACGGGGAUCAGCCCAUUAAGUUAUGUGUGUUUUAGUGGAACGCUCUGGGAAGUGCGAACGUAGAGGGUGAUAUUCCCGUACACGAAAGGGCACACAUAAUGAUGACGAGUAGGGCGAGGCACGUGAAACCUUGUCUGAAUAUGGGGGGACCAUCCUCCAAGGCUAAAUACUCCUGACUGACCGAUAGUGAACCAGUACCGUGAGGGAAAGGCGAAAAGAACCCCUGUGAGGGGAGUGAAAUAGAUCCUGAAACCGCAUGCAUACAAGCAGUGGGAGCACCUUCGUGGUGUGACUGCGUACCUUUUGUAUAAUGGGUCAGCGACUUAUAUUCAGUAGCGAGGUUAACCGUAUAGGGGAGCCGUAGAGAAAUCGAGUCUUAAUAGGGCGUUUAGUUGCUGGGUAUAGACCCGAAACCAGGCGAUCUAUCCAUGAGCAGGUUGAAGGUUGGGUAACACUAACUGGAGGACCGAACCCACUGUCGUUGAAAAGCCAGGGGAUGACUUGUGGAUAGGGGUGAAAGGCUAAUCAAGCCUGGUGAUAGCUGGUUCUCCCCGAAAGCUAUUUAGGUAGCGCCUCGGACGAAUACCAUAGGGGGUAGAGCACUGUUUCGGCUAGGGGGUCAUCCCGACUUACCAAACCGAUGCAAACUCCGAAUACCUAUGAGUACUAUCCGGGAGACAGACUGCGGGUGCUAACGUCCGUAGUCAAGAGGAAAACAAUCCAGACCGCCAGCUAAGGCCCCAAAAUCAUAGUUAAGUGGGAAACGAUGUGGGAAGGCAUAGACAGCUAGGAGGUUGGCUUANNNNNNNNNNNNNNNGAAGCAGCCACCCUUUAAAGAAAGCGUAAUAGCUCACUAGUCGAGUCGGCCUGCGCGGAAGAUGUAACGGGGCUAAAACUAUGUGCCGAAGCUGCGGAUGUAUACUUUGUAUACGUGGUAGGGGAGCGUUCUGUAAGCCGAUGAAGGUGUGUUGAGAAGCNNNNNNNNNNAUGCUGGAGGUAUCAGAAGUGCGAAUGCUGACGUGAGUAACGACAAAACGGGUGAAAAACCCGUUCGCCGAAAGACCAAGGGUUCCAGUCCAACGUUAAUCGGGGCUGGGUGAGUCGACCCCUAAGGCGAGGCCGAAAGGCGUAGUCGAUGGGAAAAUGGUUAAUAUUCCAUUACUUCUGUGUAAUGCGAUGAGAGGACGGAGAAGGCUAAAUCAGCCUGGCGUUGGUUGUCCAGGUGAAAGGAUGUAGGCAUGUAUCUUAGGCAAAUCCGGGGUACUCUAUGCUGAGAUCUGAUAGCAAGCUGUACUUGUACAGCGAAGUGGUUGAUGCCAUGCUUCCAGGAAAAGUCUCUAAGCUUCAGUUACACAGGAAUCGUACCCGAAACCGACACAGGUGGUCAGGUCGAGUAGACCAAGGCGCUUGAGAGAACUCUGCUGAAGGAACUAGGCAAAAUGGUACCGUAACUUCGGGAGAAGGUACGCUGUUGUUGGUGAUGGAACUCGCUUCCUGAGCUGACGACAGCCGCAGAAACCAGGCCGCUGCAACUGUUUAUUAAAAACAUAGCACUCUGCAAACACGAAAGUGGACGUAUAGGGUGUGAUGCCUGCCCGGUGCUGGAAGGUUAAUUGAUGGGGUUAGCGUAAGCGAAGCUCUUGAUCGAAGCCCCAGUAAACGGCGGCCGUAACUAUAACGGUCCUAAGGUAGCGAAAUUCCUUGUCGGGUAAGUUCCGACCUGCACGAAUGGCAUAAUGAUGGCGGCGCUGUCUCCAGCAGAGGCUCAGUGAAAUCGAAAUCGCUGUGAAGAUGCAGUGUACCCGCGGCUAGACGGAAAGACCCCGUGAACCUUUACUGCAGCUUGACACUGAACUUUGACCUUACUUGUGUAGGAUAGGUGGGAGGCUUUGAAGCUGGAACGCUAGUUCCAGUGGAGCCGUCCUUGAAAUACCACCCUGGUAAUGUUGAGGUUCUAACUCUGUCCCGUGAUCCGGGACGAGGACCGUGUCUGGUGGGUAGUUUGACUGGGGCGGUCUCCUCCUAAAGAGUAACGGAGGAGUACGAAGGUGCGCUCAGCGUGGUCGGAAAUCACGCGUAGAGUAUAAAGGCAAAAGCGCGCUUAACUGCGAGACCCACAAGUCGAGCAGGUACGAAAGUAGGUCUUAGUGAUCCGGUGGUUCUGUAUGGAAGGGCCAUCGCUCAACGGAUAAAAGGUACUCUGGGGAUAACAGGCUGAUACCGCCCAAGAGUUCAUAUCGACGGCGGUGUUUGGCACCUCGAUGUCGGCUCAUCUCAUCCUGGGGCUGAAGCAGGUCCCAAGGGUAUGGCUGUUCGCCAUUUAAAGAGGUACGCGAGCUGGGUUUAGAACGUCGUGAGACAGUUCGGUCCCUAUCUACCGUGGGCGCUGGAAAUUUGAGAGGAUCUGCUCCUAGUACGAGAGGACCAGAGUGGACGAACCUCUGGUGUACCGGUUGUGACGCCAGUCGCAUCGCCGGGUAGCUAUGUUCGGAAGGGAUAACCGCUGAAAGCAUCUAAGCGGGAAGCCUACCUCAAGAUAAGAUUUCCCUAGGACUUUAUGUCCUCUAAAGAGCCGUUCGAGACUAGGACGUUGAUAGGUUGGAUGUGGAAGCAUAGUGAUAUGUGAAGCUGACCAAUACUAAUUGCUCGUGAGGCUUGACUAUACAACACCCAAGCAGUUG
RNAcentral lists this ribosomal RNA (2943 nucleotides) under Acinetobacter baumannii. RNAcentral's name for it is "bacterial LSU rRNA". It matches the Rfam family "Bacterial large subunit ribosomal RNA". Lineage: Bacteria; Pseudomonadati; Pseudomonadota; Gammaproteobacteria; Moraxellales; Moraxellaceae. The record is from RNAcentral.